CUCUCAUUUAAUUCCCUCUCAGGAUGGCAAGUGUUCAUGUUUAAUGAACUUUCUGCAGAGCCAUCUGGGGAGAUUUAAAACAACCCCUCCGGCAGCUGGUCGGGGUGUGAUUAAUGAUGGCUGCGGACUCGAGCAGAGCAGAACCGAGGGGACAAGAGCUGUGAGGCUCCCGCGAGGAGGUCGAAGCACUCUUCUCAGCCGUUCCUUGUUGCACCAUGUUGUCUGUAGAGCAGCAGACCGCGGCCACGCAGCCCUGCUGCUGUUCUCCAGCCACAGCCUGCGGGGGCUCGCAGCGCUCAGCCGGUGGCGCCGGGCGUUCCUGAGGACACGGGACAUUUAUUUUUCAAUAUGUUGCGGUCUGCAUUAGGUUUUCUGCUGCCUGGGUGAAGCCCCUUAAAUCUAGCUCCAAGUGACAGCUAUACAACUGCCCCUUGCUUUCCGGAGAGGUCGUUAGAUUUUAGCAGCAAUGGCAUUCACCCAGCGUUUUGCCGGGGGAAUACUGAAGGUCCAGAAUGUCACAGCGUUAUGUAAGGUUGUAAAAAUACGGCUUUCCCCUGCGUAAAUCACAUUUCUAUGUCAGCAGCCAGCGAGCAGUAAGGGAAUUUGUUUAACCCUGCCGUGCCUGGCAGCUGGGUCACCUUCCCGCAACGCAGCCACGAACCCGAGUAGAAUCAUCCCUGCCUUUUCCCUUGCGGUCCCAAAGAGUUUGCCCCCGUCCUUGUGUGCAGGAGCCGUAAACCCUUUCAAUCCACUUAUCUGCUUCUUCCUCCCCUUCUUCAUCCCUCCCUUGUGCAACCCCAGCUGCCUGCAGCAGGAGGACAUCCAGGUGUGCUCCUGGCAUCGCAGCCAUCCAUCACCCGUGGCACUUCUGGCUCUCCUCCCCUGAGACCCACCGGCAUCGCACUCCGUGCCUCUCCUUCAGUGCACAAACGCUCUCCUCACCGUCAUUGUCUCUUGUCAGAGUCCGGCAGCGUCCUCGCAAAGAGCAGCAAUCACCGAGAAGAUGGCCAGCACAAAGCAGGGGUGGGAUGGGUGGGAAUAAUUCAGCAAAAGACAGAAGGAGAUGGACCACAACCAAGCUUAACUCAGUGCCAUGAAAUUUGCAGUGCUGUACUUUUAUAUGGGGAUCUUAGCACAGAGGUGACCCUUGGGUAUCUCUCGAAUGCAGCUGUGUCCUCCUGGUGCUCCUCUUUCACUGUGCAUGCUGUAGGGAACACAAUGAAUGAGGCUUUGUUAUGACACCAACCCCAAAGACUUCCCAGUCUAUCCAAGACAGUUGAGAAAUGACAGCAGAAUUAUCCCCAUUUUAUAGGUUAGGAGCUGGGUCCAGACUCUGACCACCAUGUACCCACUGGCAGCUGGGAAUG
This 1367-nucleotide long non-coding RNA is filed under the name Anser brachyrhynchus (Pink-footed goose). Its description in RNAcentral is "lncRNA (ENSABRG00000011856.1)". The record is from RNAcentral. Lineage: Eukaryota; Metazoa; Chordata; Aves; Anseriformes; Anatidae.